CCUACGGGAGGCAGCAGUGAGGAAUAUUGGUCAAUGGGCGCGAGCCUGAACCAGCCAAGUAGCGUGAAGGAUGACUGCCCUACGGGUUGUAAACUUCUUUUAUAAAGGAAUAAAGUGAGGCACGUGUGCCUUUUUGUAUGUACUUUAUGAAUAAGGAUCGGCUAACUCCGUGCCAUCAGCCGCGGUAAUACGGAGGAUCCGAGCGUUAUCCGGAUUUAUUGGGUUUAAAGGGAGCGUAGAGGGGUUGUUAAGUCAGGUGUGAAAGUUUGAGGCUCAACCGUAAAAUUGCAAUUGAUACUGGCAGACUUGAGUACAGUUGAGGUAGGCGGAAUUCGUGGUGUAGCGGUGAAAUGCGUAGAUAUCACGAAGAACUCCGAUUGCGAAGGCAGCUUACUAAACUGCCACUGACACUGAGGCUCGAAAGUGUGGGGAUCAAACAGGAUUAGAUACCCCAGUAGUC
RNAcentral lists this ribosomal RNA (460 nucleotides) under uncultured bacterium. RNAcentral's name for it is "partial 16S ribosomal RNA". It matches the Rfam family "Bacterial small subunit ribosomal RNA", at positions 338 to 795 of the family's 1533-position model. The record is from RNAcentral.